Molecule: ribosomal RNA, 253 nt
Filed under: uncultured bacterium
Lineage: Bacteria
Description: partial 16S ribosomal RNA
Rfam family: Bacterial small subunit ribosomal RNA
Source: RNAcentral
UACGUAGGGCGCAAGCGUUGUCCGGAAUUAUUGGGCGUAAAGAGCUCGUAGGCGGUCUGUCGCGUCGGAUGUGAAAGCCCGGGGCUCAACCCCGGGUCUGCAUUCGAUACGGGCAGACUGGAGUGUGGUAGGGGAGAUCGGAAUUCCUGGUGUAGCGGUGAAAUGCGCAGAUAUCAGGAGGAACACCGGUGGCGAAGGCGGAUCUCUGGGCCAUUACUGACGCUGAGGAGCGAAAGCGUGGGGAGCGAACAGG